Molecule: long non-coding RNA, 636 nt
Organism: Pezoporus occidentalis (night parrot)
Lineage: Eukaryota; Metazoa; Chordata; Aves; Psittaciformes; Psittacidae
Exons: 2
Source: RefSeq, a predicted model, not a curated record
AUCACCUUGCACCAAGGAGCACGUCCAGGUAUGGUUGUGCAGCGUGUCCCAGGGCAGGAGCUGGGGGCAGUGGUGUGAAGCUGCCUCCUUGCAAGGCCUGUGGCUUUCCUGGUAACAAACUGCUCCCUCCAGCAUAAGAGGUGCCGCAGCCGGAGGCAGAAACCUCAGCCCAUGGCUGCAAGAGGUGAUUUUCCAUCAGUGACCCCAGAGAAACCUGCAGCAGAGCCGAGCUCAGCGCGAUGUGCCCCAUGCUGCUGGAGAGAGGGAUGCACGCUGCUGCUGAUGCAAAGGCUCUUGGGGUGUUGGAGGAGCUCAUCCCAAGGAUCUGAGCGGUUGGGAAUGUGGUCCUAAGAGGACCUCAGUGCUGCCCUGAAGUGUGGAAGCCCUAGCACCAAUGUGGGCUGGGAUCCCACCCCAGGGAAGCCUGGCCUGAGCUCAAGCUCUGCUCCUGGAUUUGGCUGGCAUUGCUCAUGCCACCCAGAGACACAUUUUGUCCUUUACUAAAUGCAUUUGUCAGCUUGUAUUUAGCUUUGAUUUUUGUAGUUUUAACAGGAAAAGCAGUUACUUAUGUGAAAACAAAUUUACUUCUCCAGUUAUCCUUGGGGUAAUAAAACAUACAACAAAGCCCAUGACAAA